CUCCUCUCCGACAGGUGGCAGCGACCUAGCGCUUCAUCCGGCGACGCGAUCCCGCUCCGGGUAACCCUCAAGAUCCCUCGAGACGAUGAUCGCCACCGUCAAGGCCCCUUUGACGCCCAUGUCGCCGUCAUUCGGCUCCUCCAUACCCUCGAUUUCUCCGGAGCCGUCGCCUCGGUUACUGACGCCCUGGAGAUGAUGCCGGUGGCGCUGGAGUUCCUGUUUGAGGAUUGCGUCCGGGCUUGCGUUCGGUUCCUCGAGGCAAUGCCUUGGACGGAGGAGGAGGAAGAAAGGGUCCUCACGUUGAUCCCUUUCCUCGGUGAAGAGGAAUCCCGGGAACUCGUCGCUAGGGUUUCGCCCGUGGUGGCGGCCUCGGGAGAUUGGAAGAGCAUGUCUGAAGAAAUGCUUCAUGGAUUGAUCGACGUGGCGAUCAGGCGGCACCCCAAUGUGGCCACCGUCAAGGCUUUUGUGGCGAAGAUACUGAAGGAUUUCCCGUAUCGGGAAUCGGUACAGAGGGUACUGGACCAGGCCUUCUUGUCAAGCUUGGAGACGGUGAAAGAUUACUUGGGCAAGUAUGCGAGCCCAGAUGU
Molecule: long non-coding RNA, 587 nt
Filed under: Musa acuminata (dwarf banana)
Lineage: Eukaryota; Viridiplantae; Streptophyta; Magnoliopsida; Zingiberales; Musaceae
Description: long non-coding RNA (MACU_LNC001556)
Source: RNAcentral